RNAcentral lists this long non-coding RNA (12885 nucleotides) under Cucumis sativus (cucumber). RNAcentral describes it as "long non-coding RNA (CSAT_LNC000272)". The record is from RNAcentral. Lineage: Eukaryota; Viridiplantae; Streptophyta; Magnoliopsida; Cucurbitales; Cucurbitaceae.
CGUCAAACACUGAUCAGAAUCACAAAAUAUUAGUCAUAGUCAUAUGUAAGAACCCAAAAAGUCAGCUAACUCAACUCACACCUCGUCUAGUUCUGCCUGUGAGUAUGAUCUUCGUGUAUCAAUCUAUAUAUAAACAUGCAAAAUAAAUUAAAUGAAUUAACUGACUAUACAAAUAAACCAAUUAACUCACAAAAUUAAUAUAGUUUGAUAUAAAACAUACCGCAUCGGAUAUGACAAUGCUUCCCCUAGUCACAAUUUCUCUCAAAUACCUCAUGACGUAGUAUCCACACUCAGUACUCCCGACUUGUAGUGGACACUAUAUAAAAGCAACAAAUUUGAAUAACAAAGUAAUCCUUUGAUGUAGUGGACACUAUAUAAAAGCAACAAAUUUCACAAUUCCCACAUUUCAAACAAGGACAACGAAUAAAGAAGCUACUUGUAUUAGAAAAUCCAAAUUUGAUGAAGUUUUCCACACCCAACUCAUAAUCUUUAGACAAUCUACUCUUGUGCAUCCAAGAUUUAUCCAUCAUUGUAAAUCUAAUGAGAAAUAAAGUUAUUGUUUAUUAAUCAACAACAUUUUAUAUUAUAAAAGAGACUCAACCGAUAAAAGUUGAAAUAAAAAAAAAGGGACAAAUAUCGAUUUAUAUCUCCGAACUUUGGAUAGCAUCAAUUUAACUUUUUAUGUAUGCAUCAAUUUAAAUUUUAUGACUGUGGAAGUAAAACAUAAUAAAACAUUUAAAUGGAUACAUACCCAAAAUUGAGAUAAUUGAAGUUCACAUGUGAAAGCAACAUGGCAUAGGAAGAAAGAAAAGAAAAGGAAGUAAAAGGGAGAGAGUAGGGGAGGGUUUUGGGAAGCAACAGGCAAGAGGACUUGACUUUAUAUUCUCAAAUCCCAAAACAAAAACAGCUAUACAAUGAAAGCUUUUUAUAGCCUAAAAUUAGAAAACCCCAUAAAUAAGAAUAAGAAAGAAAGUACUAAGAAGCAUUUAUUCCCUCACACCCAUGACCUCUUCCACCAAAUUCCCCAAUGAAACCUUCGAACCAAACACAUUCAUAUAUAGAUUCCAUGACAAUCACGAUAUACAUUCGACGUCAAGUCUACUUCAAUUCAUAUACAUUCAUAUAUAUUUUCAAUCAACCCACAAUAUACAUUCAACACACAUACAAUUUACAAUCACAGUUCACAAUCACAAUUGAGUCUAGUAGAAAAUCCCUUACUUUCAAAUUUGUUAAGCUCCUUAACCACGUUGAAGUCUAUGAAGAACGAACCUAAACAUUAAGACAAUUUCUCAAUAAUUCUCUUCAAGGCAUCAGUCAUUUAAAUUCAACCCAAUGUGAAUCUUUUUACAACUUACCCAAAUCUUCGCGAAAGAAAUCGAGCAGUAGCUUUGCGAAGAGACGACGUGCGACGGAGAGACCGUAUACAGACGGCCGGAGAGUCGCGCGGCAGUGCAGACAACGGAGGAGAAGGGAUCGGCGGCGGCUGGCUUGGACGGCGGUUGUGAGCGGCGGACGUGGCGGUUACUGCUUCACACGGUGGCUCGGCUUCGACGGAGACAGAACAAGACGCGAGGGAGAGAGAGAGAGAUUUCUUUUUCCUUUUUCUUUUCUUUUUAUUUAAAUUAAAUAUAAAUAAUAAAUAUAUACUAAAACUCCUACUACAAAUUUCUUUCAAAUACUUUAAUUUAAAUUUAAAAACGUCAAAAAAUUUUAAAAAGGUUCUUGACGUUUUAAAAGCGUCAAGAAUUUUUAUAACAAGUUAACCACUCAAAACAAAUAGCACAAGAAGAAACUAAAACAAGAAACUAAAUGUAAUAAAGGAAAGUCGUCAAAAAUAGCAAAUUUGACAAAAUACUAGAUUUUUUUUUUAGAUUUGAUCAAUAAUAUAGACAUUAAUAGACACUGCUUCUAUCAAUAGAAUUGGUAGAUAGUGAUAAGUCUAUCAAUUUCUAUCAUCGAUAGAAUUCAAAAUUUUGCUAUAGUUUGUAAAUAUUUUAAUUUAUUUUACUAUUUUUAAAAAUGCUUCUCUAAUCAAUUCUAUUUUAAACAAAAUUAUGGUUAAUCAUUGUUUUCGUCCGUGUUUCAAUUUUUUUUUUUUAUGAAAAAGAAGGGUUGUUCAUAUGUAUUUAGAACGAAGUAUAGAUUUCAGGUUGAUUAUUAUAUAUAAUACACAUGUUGCAUUUUAAUUUAGUAUAUUGAGAUAUACAUUCCAUAUAAUUUUAGUUCAUGAAUCCUCAUUUAAACAAAACAUAUCAUUUUAGUAUUCUAGAUUAUAGAUGGUUGGAUUAAAGAUGACAGAAAACUUAUUGUUUUGGCAAAAAAAAAAACAGUGAUAGAAAAUCAAUUACUAGUUUAAAUCAAGUAUUAAUAAUGAAAUUUGAGUGCAAAAAAGAAGAAAGACUUUUUAGCAUAAGAUACCAGUAACACCAAAUGAAUAGUUAUAAAAAAAAAAGUUUUAAAAUAAUGGAUACUUGAUAUAUAAAAAAGAUCUAUGACAUAAAUCAUUUUAGCCUAAGAUACCAGUAAGACCAAAUGAAUAGUUAUAAAAAAAGUUUUAAAACAAUGGAACAUGGACCAUAGUCACAUACGGAUACCGUCACAUAUAAUUUUUUAUGUUCUUGUAUUGUUACUACAUAUAAAAACAAAGAAGAUACAGAAAAUUUAGAAUCAUAGAGGAACUUCAAGGUGGUUUUUUCAAACUUCAUAACAAUGAAACUUCGAUGAAAACAUUGUAUAAUCAAAUUCGGGGUUGAAACAUACGUUUUUUUGGGAUGAAGGGUUGGAUAAGUGGUCAUGUGCGUAAAAUGAGUUAGUAUAUACACAAACGAAAAGCAAGAUAACCUUGGACAAGUAACUUAAUUUAAGUUGAAGGCCCAAAUACAUAUAAGAAUACAAAAACAACUAAAAAGCUUUUAACCGGAGAAGUUUAUUACUAAACAAAACUAAUUAAAACUUGGAAAGUUUAUAACUUUCUUUGAUCCACAGAGAUUGAUAAAAGAAAUGUUUGAUUUUCAUUUUGCAAAGUAACAUGUGAUAACUUGAUCGAGAAACAACUAUGUAGUCUUCGAAUUUUAGAGAAGCUCAAUUCUUUCUAAAAAACUUGGAAGAGUGGGUUCUUUUUGGGGUUAAAAUUAAAAGAGACUCAAAUAUGUCAUUAAAAGUAUGUCAUGAUAUUUGAAAACGAGAAAGUUUGGCUAAGUGUCAAGGAAUUAAAGACUAAUCAAUAGAGUUAAAAGUAAGUGAUCAGUUACAAAGGUAAGCGAUCAGGUUAUAAGGUAAGUGACUGGUCAAGGAGCUAAGCGAUUAAGUUGGAAGCUACACGAUCGUUUGAAGGUUGAAGCUAAGCGAUUAUGUUAGAAAGCUAUAAAGAAUCGUGUAAGAGGGGUAAACAAUUGUACAUAAGCUAAACAAUCGUGUAAGAGGGUAAACGAUUAUAUAGAAGCUAAUGAUUGUGUAAAAGGUUGAACAAUUGUGUAGGAAGCUAAACGAUCGUGUAGGAGUUGUAAAAAAUUGUGCAUUGUAGUUCAAAAUUUUAUAGCCUUCACAGUAACAGGUGAGGUGGUGAGGUAAGGUGCCCCUAGUGCAUUCCUAGCAAAUACAAGCAUCGACAAGUACUUCAAAUACUCGAGACUAUUUCCAUCAACAACUUUGAUUGUAUUCUGAUGUCUUUUUUCUCUUAUGCUCGAGAAAAUCCACAUUUAUAUUUUUUUUGGCUAAAAGUAAAAACUAUAGUUGUGAGAAAAAAGUGUCAUUCCAUAAAUUCACGUUAGAGAUGCAUUAUAGAAACAUAAAACAACAAAGAAUAAAAGCAUAUUUUUAUGAGAUCAUUUGAAAUUAUAAAAUCAGAUCGAAACAAAGUGAACGAAUCACAUUUGGAGAAUAAAUUUUAAACAAGUUAAUAUGCAAUCGCCAUGGAAUCCAAUGACAUUCAAUUACAGUACAUAUUUGAGGUUGAUUUCUCUCAAUCAUAAAAUCAUAACAAAAGAAACCUUAUGAAUAGAAGACAAUUUAACUAAAGUUGAAUAAGAACAUACUUUUGAGUGAUAGUGGAGCAAAUCAUUGGUACCAAAAUGCUCAAUGUUAAUGUGAAUCAAUUGGCCACAACUCCGUUCAAUAGCCUACACAUCUCCUUCAAAUCGUAGUCCAUGUCCCACCAAUAUCAUAGGGCUAUCGCAUAUUGAUGAAGCAAAACAGAAGAAUCAGAUGAGAUUAGAGAUGAAGCGGUGAUUAGUAUUUAUCAGAAUGUCAAACCAAUCCAAGAACAUACCUCACAAAUAUUUGGAAAGACGUUUAGGUUUGAUAGGCAAUAAAGUAGAAGCAUAUUGAAAUUAGAGUUGAGAGAGAGGCAGUGUCUAACUCAUAAAGCGUCGUCAUGGUCGUCGUGGGUCGAUGUUCACCAUCAGUCGUGGGUCUUCGUCAUGAAAGGAGAAAUUACAAUGGUCAUCAGUCGUGGUUUUUGCUGCCGUUCAAGUGAGUUUCGUUGAGACAGAGAUAGGAGAUGAAAAGGGUUUGAAGAUAGAAGAAGUGAGACGGAGAGAGGGGAAUAAAAAAAGACUGGUGAACUCCCAAUGCCACCAAUAAUGUGUCGGGAGUUUCCCCACUAUUUUCUGACGCUUUACGGUAUUGCGUCGACAGAUACCAUAUCUUUCGACGUUGAGAGAUCCAAAAUUUCUUCUAGUGUAUCUCAGUUUCUUACCUAUCUCUUUUUGCAUGUUAAUUUCUGUUCUGGAGGAUAAAUUAAAUGGCUUAGAAGCAAAAAAGUUCAUUCUAAUGAACGGUAUGAUCCUAGAAUGGUUCGGCGAUCAAACUACUAUGACAACUUCAAUAAUAAGGGUUAGCCUUCAACACUAUCCACAAAAGACAUCAAUUUUGGCUGCCUGUGUUAUUUUCAAAGUUGAUGGAAGUGAAGGCUUCUAUGAAAAAUAUGAUGUUUUCAUUGAUGGUGAAUCACUAAAAUAUUUCGAGAUCACCGUUUGGCCUUCAUCGAAAUAAAAAUAUGUGGUUAAUAACGACCCCUCUAAUUUUAGCUCCGUGAGCAUGAGUUGUGAAGUCUCUUGGCGUCCAUAUCGACGUUAGAGGGCAGCAAAGGCAAUUGGUGAGUUAGCGGAUACACAGUUGCAAAUUCGUUGUUUCUUGUUUGGUUUCUUAUUAAUAGCUCCCUAAAUGAACUAUCUUAGUGCCUCUGUUCUAGCUUGUUUAGAAUUAUUAAUCAGUUUAAAUGUUUGUUUUUGUAGGAAUUCGAGCAUCACACACAUUCCAGUGGCUUCAAAGGAGAGUAAAGGUCAGAUCUAGUGUGAUCCUGAGACAUCGUCACAAAUCUCCCUCGAACGCACACUCUACAACAACUUGUUCCAGCAUCGAAAAUUGCAACACCAUAAGUUGCAUUGCAAAGCUCUUUGACAGCCAUUAUAAAUAGUUUGCCUUCAUAUUUGGGUAAGAGAGGAGAGUUAUGUAUUGAUUUUAGGAGCUUAAAGCUCGGUUUUGGCCCCUCUUGACCGAAACUCAUGAGAUAUCUUUGUUUAAUAGCUUAAAGAGAUUCAUUGACUGAGAACGCCCUAAACAAUGAUUUUGAGGUUUGUUGGCCAUUUGUUUAGAUUUUAAUCUUUGCCAAAAAGCUUUUGGCUGGUUGCGUUACUGUUUUCAAAGUAGAUGGAGAUUGGUGUGAAGCAAAGGCUAAUUAUUAAAUAUGGUGUGUUCAUUCGUAUCAACUCAUUAGGUUAAAAGUGGACAAUACCAUAUCAUUGUAGAGACAUGUGGAAGUUCGUUGUCUUUAUAACUAUAUUAUAUGACAUAGAUGGUUGGUUGAUAGUACGAUUCCAAGGCAAGAAACUGAAUUAGAAAUUAAAACCCCGCUGGAAAGAGAAAAAAAACAACCAAUUAAAGAAAAACUUGACAGAACAACAAAAUCUUACAUUAUAAAAACAUUCAAUAAAAAUGAAAAACAAUAAAAAUUGGGAAUAAUGGUGUAUGAUCACUCACUGAACUAUCCCUUUCCUUUUUUUCUUGACCUCAAUUAUCAUUUGUAAUGCUCAAAAAGGUCAUCAACAACAUACACACCCAGGCUUCUUAUAAUAACUUUAGCCUUUUUAUUAUAAUUCCGAACCUGAAACGAGACUUCGAUUUUGUGUCGAUUAUUCUCAUUCAAGCAUAUCAACUGUGAUGGAGGAGUUCUUAGUAACAACAUAUGCUCUGAUUUUGACCCACACCAACUUUCCAUAGUAGGCAUCAUAAGCUUUUGACCAUCAAACAAUACUUGAAAAUGAAUAAAAGCCUCAGCAACAAAUGAAUCUGCAUCCACUUUGAAAACAACACACACAACCAAAGCAGGUAUAAUCAUAUCUGAAUUAUGUUGAAAGCUAAAACUUAUUGAACUUUCUGUGGUUUGAUUGUUGCAGAAUUUCGGGAUCUCGCUGUACGUUACGAUUAGCUCUCUUUUGAAGUUCCUUAACUUAAGGUCCUAUAGAAUAAGAUUUAAUAUUCUCAAAAUCAAUGUUAACAAAACAAGAGAGGAGCAUAUAAUAUGAACAAAAUAGAAAUUAGAUGAAUCUUAAAAUAGAGGAACCUGAUUUCUGAACAUCAUAUCGGCAAUGUAGUCGGGGCUUAUUACCAACAAUUCGCAACCACUAGCAUCCAUUCGUUUUAAACAAUGUGGAAUCUUCACAAUGUUUCGAAGAAACUUACAAUUUCUUAGUUCAAGAAGCCUCAAUGAUGUAAAAUUUUUGAGAGAAGGUAGACAACAGAAUUUGUUUCCGGACAAAUUUAGCUCCUUCAAGGUAGUGCAGAAAUUAGAUAAAUUUUCCAAAAAAUCUGAAUUUGAUAUGUUGCAAUUUUGUAGAUCCAAUAUAGUCAAGUUUGAACAUAAGCUUCGUUGGGGAAAGUUUAAGCUUGAUCCCGAGGGAAGCAUGUCGAGUCUAGAACACUCUCGAAGAUCAAGUUCCUUAAGACUCUUUAACAAAUGAAUUUCACUUGGAAGAGAAAUCAGGUUUGUGCAAUAACUAAGGAUCAAAUUCUCAAGCCCAAUAAGAUAUCUAAUUGAUGUGGGUAACUUCCUUAUGGCUGUACCUUUCAAAUUCAUCUCCCUCAAAGACUUCAUAUUUUCAUCAAAUUCUGGAAGUUGUUCAAUCUUAUAACAGUUAGUGAGACUCAAAGAAUCAAGAGACUUCAAUCUGAGGCAACUAGGAAGCUCUUCAAGUUGAUGGCAAAAAUCAAGUUUUAAGGCAAUAAGUUGAUCGAGAGAUCCAACAGACUUGUGAAUCGUUCUUAAAGAGAAGCAGCCCCUAAGAUCAAAUAUCUCAAGGUUUGAUGCAAUUGAAAAGUCAGUAAUUUCCUUAAGAUUUUGACAAUAACUAAGAUUCAAAACUUUAAGAGAUUCGAACUUGAGGUGGCUUGGAAACUUUUCAAAAUAGUUGUCAAAAAGUUGUUCGAUCUUUCGGCAUGAAUCAAGAUUCAUAACUUCAAUAGACUUUGAGUUGCUGAUGUAUCUUGGAAGCCUUUCAAGAAUUUUACAUCCUUCAAGGUCCAGGAUAACAAGUUUAUCAAGAAAGCGUCCAACUGCAGAGUCGUGAAUUAUUCUCAAGUGAUAGCAUUCUCUAAGAUGUAGUUCUUUAAGGUUUGACGAUGCCGAUAAGUCAGGAAUUUCUUUUAGCUUUAUGCAUCCACUUAGAUUCAAAACUUCAAGAGACUUUAACAUGAGGAAGCUACUUGGAAGCUUUUCUAGAUUUUCACAGCCUUCGAGGUCCAAGGUAACAAGCUUACUAAGAGAAGCAACAGAUCCAUGAAUCAUUUUUAAACGUUUGCAACUUAAAAGAUAUAAUUUUUCAAGGUUUAAUGCUGCAGAGAAGUCAGGGGUUUCCUCUAAUAACCGCCAAUAACUCAGAUCAACAUGCUUCAACAUUUUGCAAUCCUAAAACACAUGGAAAAAAUCAUUAAAAACACUUGCAGUGAUAUCAAGCACACAAGUAGAAGUUGUAUAAUUUAAUUACCUCAAAUAUAAUCCCUGGAUGUUUGUUGGAUACACCAUUUAUGACUAGUCCAACUAGCCCGCCAUUCACAACAAAGCUUAUAGGGAAAUACCAUCGAACACUAGAUGAUGAGUACUCAAUCCACUUAAUAUUAGGUAAAUACUUGAAUAUAUUUGUAGGCAAUUUUGCUGCAUUUUGAAGAAUAAGCAAUCUAAGAUUUUCCAUGUUUCUAAAUGCUUCUGCUUCAACAAUCAGUGAACCGUUGUUGCGCAAGUCUAGCUUUAUGGCUUUAACUUUAUGAGUUCCCUACAAAGUUAAAUAUGAAGUCAUUUUAACAUUAUUAACAAGUAACCAAGCUGACCCAUUUUUUUUAUCACAAUGUCUUUGGAAAUAAGUAAACGAAAAUAAUUUACAUAAGGUUACUCACUGAUUUUUCUAUCAACAUCUUGACAGCUUCUUUUGCCACCCACAGCCUACUCCUUUUUUCUGGCUUAAAAGAUUUACGACGUACAAUCAUCUGACCCAUUUGUCGAAUUAAAUCAUGCAUUUGUAUCUUGCCGUCUUCAACCGUAACAAGAGAAAGAUCCAUGAGAAUUAUAAUUCUUGAUUCUAGAUAAGGAUCACAUGCCUUUAACACAUUCUUACUAUAGCUAACAUCCUCUCCCACAAAAAAACAACAAAUAUCAAGGAAAAUUUCCUUUACUGGGGGGUUUUCUGGAAGCCUCUUAAAACUUAUCUGGAAAACAGCUUCAAUACCUGGUUCGGGGAAGUUUUUAAGUUCAUCUAAUUUGCUUUUCCAUAUUAUUUGAUCUCUCUUACAAAGGAGAGAGCCCAAAAUAACAAGAGCUAGAGGAAGACCGUUGCAAUAACGUACUAGUUCUGGAAGUUCCGAAUAAUUCCUUGAUGGAUGGCUUUGCUUAAAAGCAUGCCAACAAAAAAGCUCAAGAGAUUUAUCACAAUCCAACAAUUGAAUAGGAUGUAUUUUAUCAAAUGAAUAUGUUUCGAGUAAAUGUCUAUCUCUUGUUGUCACAAUGAUUUUGCUACCUCGACCGAACCAAUCACGUCCACCUACCAAUGCAUCUAGUUGAUCGUCCUUAUCCACGUCAUCCAAAACCAUAAGAACUUUCCUUGAGCACAAUCGAUCCUUUAUGAUAUUCAUUCCUUUGUCCACAUUGUCAACCUUCAAGUUAUUAUCCUUGAAGAUCUCAUUGAGUAAUUUUUCUUGCAGUUGAACUAGGCCGUUGAAUUGCUCUGAAGUUUCUCUAACAUUUGAAAGAAAGCAACAAGCUUCAAAUUGAUAAGUGAUUUUGUUGUAUAAAGCUUUGGCCAAAGUUGUCUUACCAAUGCCUCCCAUCCCAUGUAUCCCCACCAUGUUAACACCAUUAUCUGACACACCAUGGGAGGCUAAUUCCUCAAUAGCUUUAAGUUGAGAAUCGAUUGCAACAGGAUGCUUGGCUACAUUUAGUAAUUGUGUUUGUUUUAAUAUAGACACCUUCUUAACAAGGUCUUGAAUAAGAUGAGCUUCAUUAUUCUUCCUGUCAUCGUUUGAUUACACAUCAUACACGGACACAUAGUGAUGAAAAAUAAAAUAAGAAAUAGUAAAUAAAUAUAGGAAGAUUGCAUAAAAAAAUCUUUAGAAAGAAACAUAUGAAGAAACCUAUUUUUUAUAUAUUGCGAAUAUGGCAAAAUUAUUGAUAUCAGACCGCUCUAUUAAAUGGUAAUCAUAGUGCUAUCGAAGGGUUAUUAAACGGUAAUUAUAGGGUUAUUGGCUUUUAAUUUUGCUACUUUGACAAUUUAAAAAAUGUAGUAACAUGGACCUUAUUAUCAUUCAUUUUUUGCUAUUUUUGCAAGGGUCCAAUAAAUAAAUGGUCAUUUGUAUUGACUAAAGAAAAAAAAUAUUUUUAAAAUUGUCAUUUUUUUUUUAUUUAAAGCCCUGUGGUAAAAGGGAAAUUGUAAUGAUAGUAUUUUGAGAAUAUGAAAUAACAAAUAUAGUAUAUUGUUUUAGAAUUUUAUAAAUAUGACAAAAUUUUCACUUUUUAAAAUAUUUUCUAUCUUAAUUAUUCUCAAACUACCCUUCAAUAAUUGAUUUUUUCUCCUCUUAAUUUUAGUGUCUUAAUCAUCUCAAUAUGUUUGAUAUACUUACUACAUGAUUUUUUAUUUUUUAAAAUUUUUUAUACAAUUUAUUAUAGUACUAUUAAGUAUGUAUGAAUGAUGUAACUCAGUGUAUCAUUAUCAAGUAUAUCAAUAAUAUAUUAUUAAAGCAUAUCAGCAGGUAAGUAAAGCAAAUCAUUAUUAAGUAUAUAUAUAUGAAUCAAGUUUACAAGUGUAUAUGAAUGGCAUAUCAAGUUUAUAAGUAUGACUUCAAGCAUAUUAAGUGUAUUUAAUCAAUCAAGUGUAUCAGUGAAGAAUAAUAAGUGUUUUUAGAGUACAUCGAGUGUACCAAACAUAUUGCGUGUAUCAAACAUAUCAAAUUUGUUGAGUGUACCAAUGAAGUAUAACAAGUUUAUUAGCAGUGCAUCAAGUGUACUAAUAAAGCAUAACAAGUUUAUUAGCAGUGCAUCAAGUGUACCAAACUUAUCAAUGAAGUUUUAAGUGUACCAAAGCCUAAAGGGUAUCAAAGUGUAUAAAGAAAAAUCAAGUGUAACAAAAGUAUUAGGUGUAUCAAAUACUAUCGGGUUUAUCAAAGAGUAUUGUGGUGCAUCAAGUGUAUCAAGGUCUAAAAGUUAUUAAGAAGUAUAAAAUAUAUACCAAGUGUAUGAAAAAGUAUUGAUGUAUCAAAUGAUAUUAGGUGUAUUAAACGUGUAUCAGUAACAAAGUCAUUUGUGACAUGUGACAUCUUGUAUAUGUGGAUUGAAUUUUCUUUUUGCCAUUUCUUCAAAUAAUAAAUUUGUGUCCUAUGAACUUAAUUAUUAUAAUUUGUUUGAUCUUUUUUGCAAGUGUCUACUAUAAUAGAUCAUGUCAAUUAUCGCUAAUAUAAGCUCAUGUAUAGUACUUAAAAGUUAAGUUGAUGUUGAGAUUAAGUAUUUUAAUAUCAAAAUUAGAAUUGACAGGACUCUCUCUCAGAGCAGACAACGUUCACUCAACAAGGGAAAUCAUGUUCUUAGAAAUGUAAAAGAUAAUUUUACUUGUUUGGAAAGCCCGCGACUUUUUAGAAAGCAGGCGAUUUUUUCUUUUUCUAGUUCUUAGGCGAGUUUAGUCAAAUUCCCCUAUAACACUCGUUUAAGAGAGAAGAAGUAAAAGAAAUAUGAAAAAUAAAAUAAAAAGUCCAAAAAUAAUAAUACCAAUAAUUUCCAAGAUCCCAACCAGACAAAGUAGCAGCAGUGGUCAAAGCCUCCUUCCAUGGUUGAAUCUUGUUGGUCAUUAACGGAUUUGUUUCAUAUUUGGCAAACGCUUCACCAAAAAUACCAGUUUGUUUUACAACCUCAGACGGACUAACAUUGUAGAAGACUGGCAGAACUGUUUGUUUCUUGGAUCUCAUACACUCAAUUAUUUUCACCACUUCAUCCAAACACCAAGUGGAAGAUGCAUAAUUUUGGGAGAAAAUAAUGAUGGAAAUCCUAGACCCCUCUAUAGAUUUGAGAAGAGAUUUAGAAAUUUGUUUACCCCUAUCUAGCUUGUCAUCUAUGAAGAAAUUGACACCCUCUCGACGUAAGGCCAAAUCAAGAUGACUGAUGAACUUGUCUCGAGUAUCCUCUCCUCUAAAACUCAAAAACACAUCAUAACUCCACUUCGAAUUUGAAGAACAAGACGAUGAUGAUUCUGCUCCAUUAACUGAAGAAGAACCCAUCCGAAUUCUAAAAUGGUCAGAAGUAAAAGUUCAGCUAAUUUGAGAGGAGAGCAAAGAACAACGCGGUUUCUCUUUUUCUAGUGAAUAAAUGAAUAAUUUAUGCAAGUUAGAAAAAACAAUUCAACUAUUUUGAUUAUAGUAAAUUUUAAAUUUAAGAACACAUGCAUCAAUGUCAAGUUCUUCGUGAGCAAAAGAAUAUUUCAACUUUAUGGUUAUCUACCAUAAAAAAGUAUUUUGUCUAUUUAGACCGUGUACAAGUAAAUUCAUUAGUUUUUUAGUAGAGAAAGUUGCAAAUUUAGCAAUUAGAUUCAAAAUAAUUAAAUAUACACCAACAUUUUAAAAAACUUACAAAUAUAACAAAAUUUGUCAAAUUCUGUCAAUGAUAAGAGUCUAUCAUCAAUAAACCAUGUUGCAAAUAUUGGUCUAUCACUGAUAGACUAGAAUCAAUAGACCAUGUUGCAAAUAUUGGUCUAUCACUCAUAGACUGAGUCUAUCAGCGAUAGUUUUGCUAUAUUUGCAAUUUUUUAAAAUGUUGUUAUACCCUUAAUUAUUAUUGCUAAAAGGCCAUCAAUUACAAUUAUUCUUUUAAUAAACAGAAAUAUCAAUGGAAAUUUUCCUUGGGCUUCAAGUUUUUCGUAACCUAACUUCAACAUCUUGAGGUUUCAACAAUCUGGUUUCAUAUGGCAAAUUAAAUAUUGUUGGAAAUUCCCUAGUAUUGACUAAUGCCUCUUAUAAGAAUAGUAAUAGAGUUUUUCUUUUUUUGAAAAUAUUGAGAAGUCAAGAUUGUUAAUAGGUGUAUCGUGGAUAUCUCAUCAACUAGAUUGACAUUUUUUAAGUACCUUCAGCAUGUCCCAAGACUAAAGAUUACUCAUUGAACAAUGAAAAGGUACGAACCAUCUCUUCAGUACCCUCAUCAAUGUAUUUCAUAUAGUCCCUAUACGGAAUAUAUUGAUAGGUACAAACCAUCUCUUCAAUGCUCUCAUCAAUGGUAGUGCAUACACUAGUAGAAAAGUGGUCUACUAUGACAGUUGUAUACAUCCCAAAUUGAAAGGAAAAAAGAAAAAACUGUCACAAAAGCUAAAAAACCGCGUUUUUGGCGGAAAAAGACGGAAUUUUUCGGAUUUUACUUUCCGCGAC